UCCUACGGGGGGCAGCAGUGAGGAAUAUUGGUCAAUGGUCGGGAGACUGAACCAGCCAAGCCGCGUGAGGGAUGAAGGUACAGAGUAUCGUAAACCUCUUUUGUCAGGGAACAAAGGCGGGGACGUGUCCCCGGAUGAGUGUACCUGAAGAAAAAGCAUCGGCUAACUCCGUGCCAGCAGCCGCGGUAAUACGGAGGAUGCGAGCGUUAUCCGGAUUUAUUGGGUUUAAAGGGUGCGUAGGCGGGAUGCCAAGUCAGCGGUAAAAAUUCGGUGCUCAACGACGUCGAGCCGUUGAAACUGGCGUU
RNAcentral lists this ribosomal RNA (305 nucleotides) under uncultured bacterium. RNAcentral describes it as "bacterial SSU rRNA". It matches the Rfam family "Bacterial small subunit ribosomal RNA", at positions 337 to 640 of the family's 1533-position model. The record is from RNAcentral.